UCAGGACAGAGGUGCGAAAAAAUAAAAACAAAAGAAGAACAUCACAUGGCGGCAGGAGGCAUGCUGCUGCUCGUCAUCAGCUCUGCGCCGGCCUGUGGCAUUUUCUCAUGAUGGCUGAACGUCCUCCUCCGCAGGUUAACUGGCAGCACGCCGAGGAGCAAACGGAGCUUGGGUUUUCCAGACGUGGUCCAGCCUCCACAUCAACACCUCUGUGAGGCUUCGUGCCACGCUUCAGUUGGGUGAGAAUGGAUCUGACUCUGUUGGCCAUGAAGAGCUUCAAAACAACAGCUGAGGCCGCAGGUCUGUUAUUUUAAUCAGCUCUUCCAAAGGACACGAUGAAUCAAGACGCGGUUAUCUGACACGCCUGAUUUGACUUAUGUGGAUGUAACGUUCUGUUGUAGCAUGAAAAUACUGUCAGGUGUCUGUUAGAAUCACAUGUGCAGCAGAGCUGCAGAGCUUCACAGGGUCCCGAAUUUCACUUCAUGUCUGUGGUCUUCAGUCCCGUCUCAGACUUGAUGAACACGUCGUGAUACGAACGACUGAAGUCUGCGAGCAGCUCAGUCUGCAGGUCCAGCAGCUGGACCGUCUGGUCUCGUCUUCCUGCUGAUAUUUUCUUCUACAUUUUGCUCCACAGUGUUUCUACUGUUUCCACACUUUCAUCACACACAAUGAGACCUUUUCAAAAAUGUUAACUCGCAUAAACAACAUUCAGCAAAGUGAGUUCUGUGGUUAAUCGUUUAAGUUUUAGUGUUCAGACAUCAGAUUAAAGGCUCCGACUGUCCUUUAACAGUCUGAGUCUGUUAGGUGAUUUUAUGUCUUUUUGCUUUUUGUAUAUUUUAUCAUGUAAGAUUAAAGGUAAGUCUUCCUUAUAAAAAUUAAAUUGUGAUAAUUUAUCAUUAACUUGCGUCUAAAAUCAUAAUUAUAUAAACAAAGUGAGACGUUUGUAUCUGAACAUGAGUUCAUGUUUGUGCUUCAGACUGAAACGUCUCCGUCCUGAUCAGCUGACUGUCAAUAAGCUGCACUACAGCAGGUUUGGACUUCAGGACUUGUUGCUAUGACAACAGCUCCAGAUCAAUGUUAAGACAGCUUCCAAGAACCAAAAACAUCCAGACGGAUGUCAAAUCAUCAAUAUUCUGAUGUGUAUGACUCAACGCUCAGGUCAACUGUUUCACCUUCGUUCUGGAUCUGAGCGUCAAGUGUCUCCGCUGCAGGAAACCGCAGUGUCACAUGACAUCAUAUAACUUCAUGUUUAUUAGGAUGAUUUACACGGUUUAAUGACAAACAAUUAUAAAUGUUUUAUACUUUAAAAUAUCUUUAUGUUGUGUAGAUUGAACUAGAGAGCAGAUAGCGUUGUUGACAGCUGAUGUAUCAUGAUGCUUUUAUUUGAUUCUGAACGAAUAAAUAGUCAACAUUU
This is a long non-coding RNA of Thunnus maccoyii (southern bluefin tuna), 1414 nucleotides long. RefSeq lists it as uncharacterized. The transcript has 2 exons. Lineage: Eukaryota; Metazoa; Chordata; Actinopteri; Scombriformes; Scombridae. The record is from RefSeq and is a predicted model, not a curated record.